AAUAGAUACCCCGGUAGUCCACGCCGUAAACGAUGAGUGCUAAGUGUUAGAGGGUUUCCGCCCUUUAGUGCUGCAGCUAACGCAUUAAGCACUCCGCCUGGGGAGUACGGUCGCAAGACUGAAACUCAAAGGAAUUGACGGGGGCCCGCACAAGCGGUGGAGCAUGUGGUUUAAUUCGAAGCAACGCGAAGAACCUUACCAGGUCUUGACAUCCCACUGACCGGUAUAGAGAUAUACCUUUCCCUUCGGGGACAGUGGUGACAGGUGGUGCAUGGUUGUCGUCAGCUCGUGUCGUGAGAUGUUGGGUUAAGUCCCGCAACGAGCGCAACCCUUGAUCUUAGUUGCCAGCAUUUAGUUGGGCACUCUAAGGUGACUGCCGGUGACAAACCGGAGGAAGGUGGGGAUGACGUCAAAUCAUCAUGCCCCCUAUGACCUGGGCUACACACGUGCUACAAUGGAUGGUACAAAGGGCUGCAAGACUGCGAAGUCAAGCCAAUCCCAUAAAACCNUUCUCAGUUCGGAUUGCAGG
RNAcentral lists this ribosomal RNA (529 nucleotides) under uncultured bacterium. RNAcentral describes it as "bacterial SSU rRNA". It matches the Rfam family "Bacterial small subunit ribosomal RNA", at positions 777 to 1304 of the family's 1533-position model. The record is from RNAcentral.